AAAAAUUGCAAAUUACUACUUUGCUUUACUUAUUACUACUAUUAUAGAAGCGGCUAAGAGAGGAGCUUCGGGUAGUAAGGGUAUUAUGGGAAUUUCAAUUAUUUUGGCUCUCUAGACGUGUUAUCUUUGAUUUCUCAAUCUCUGCCACGUCCAUAUAUGAAACUCAAAUCACACUGAAAGUUCAUACUCAUCUUUCUCCAGAUUUUCAUGACUUUGUCAACUCUUCUUCAAUUUUCCUUUGUCUCUUCUGGUCUUAUCUCUUGCCGCUCUGAAAUAGUUAUCAGAUCGCACUUAAAUGUAACUCUGGAUUGGAUCAACGAAUAUUUAACUUGCCCAGUACUAUUGAGGUUGCAGCAAUAUGGGAUGAUGAAAAUGAUGUUGGUGAUAUUCAUGUACCGCACGUUCAAAUUUAUACUCACAAUAAUAGAACGCAAAGAGUGAACUACUCUUUUGGGGUGCUAUGAUCCUUUACAGUAUCCUUUUCUAUUUCCAUAUGGCCAAAGUGGGUGGCAUUGUGAUAUUAGAAAGUUUCACGGGAAAGAAAAUAUGCCUAAAAAUUAUGCUUUGUCUGAUUUGGAACAAUUACCAAAUACAAACAAUUUUACCUCUGUUGACGUAUAUUUUGAUAUGGAAGUUCAAGUUAUGUAAAAAGGAAAACGAAAGAGAGAUACAGUUUCAGUUCGUGAAUACCACAGUUACAAGAUCCAUAUGAGAAACCAUGAUGAAGAUGAACUUCUACAUACAGGGAGAUUACUUCAACAAUAUUCGGUUGAUGAAUAUAUAAAAUUGGUGACUCAAAGAUUGGAUUUUAUUUUCUUCAAUCAAUAUUUGUUCGGAAUAGAUAUGUUAAAAGGACUUCUUGAAAUUUUAAGACUUGGUGAACGAGAUGCUUCUAAUGUUGAAAAUCAA
Molecule: long non-coding RNA, 909 nt
Organism: Nicotiana tabacum (common tobacco)
Lineage: Eukaryota; Viridiplantae; Streptophyta; Magnoliopsida; Solanales; Solanaceae
Source: RefSeq, a predicted model, not a curated record